GUGAGGAAUAUUGGGCAAUGGGCGAAAGCCUGACGCAGCCAUGCCGCGUGAAUGAUGAAGGUCUUAGGAUUGUAAAAUUCUUUCACCGGGGACGAUAAUGACGGUACCCGGAGAAGAAGCCCCGGCUAACUUCGUGCCAGCAGCCGCGGUAAUACGAAGGGGGCUAGCGUUGCUCGGAAUUACUGGGCGUAAAGGGCGCGUAGGCGGACAGUUUAGUCAGAGGUGAAAGCCCAGGGCGCAACCUUGGAAUUGCCUUUGAUACUGGCUGUCUUGAGUACGUGAGAGGUGAGUGGAACUCCGAGUGUAGAGGUGAAAUUCGUAGAUAUUCGGAAGAACACCAGUGGCGAAGGCGACUCACUGGCCCGUUACUGACGCUGAGGCGCGAAAGCGUGGGGAGCAAACAGGAUUAGAUACCCGAGUAGUCC
This 425-nucleotide ribosomal RNA is filed under the name uncultured bacterium. RNAcentral's name for it is "bacterial SSU rRNA". It matches the Rfam family "Bacterial small subunit ribosomal RNA", at positions 354 to 796 of the family's 1533-position model. The record is from RNAcentral.